Small nucleolar RNA from Otolemur garnettii (small-eared galago), 210 nucleotides. Its record names the gene U3. It matches the Rfam family "Small nucleolar RNA U3". From Rfam's summary of the family: Small nucleolar RNAs (snoRNAs) are involved in the processing and modification of rRNA in the nucleolus. NCBI's taxonomy places the organism in Eukaryota, Metazoa, Chordata, Mammalia, Primates, Galagidae. The record is from Ensembl.
AAGACUAUACUUUCAGGGGUCGUUGUUAUAGUCUGUUACUAGAGGAAGUUUCUCUGAACGUGCAGAGCCCUGGAAACCUCAGGGAGAGACACAGCGUUCUCUCCCGGGCGUGAAACUGGUCUUAGUGUUGGGUCACUGCCACUACCAUUUGCCACUGAUGGUCCUUCUUCUCUUCCUUUGGGGAGAGUAAGGACAGAACGCAGUCUGAUG